RNAcentral lists this ribosomal RNA (255 nucleotides) under uncultured bacterium. RNAcentral describes it as "partial 16S ribosomal RNA". It matches the Rfam family "Bacterial small subunit ribosomal RNA", at positions 524 to 776 of the family's 1533-position model. The record is from RNAcentral.
UACGUAGGGUGCGAGCGUUGUCCGGAAUUAUUGGGCGUAAAGAGCUUGUAGGCGGUUUGUCGCGUCUGCCGUGAAAGCCCAGGGCUUAACCCUGGGUCUGCGGUGGGUACGGGCAGACUAGAGUGUGGUAGGGGAGACUGGAAUUCCUGGUGUAGCGGUGAAAUGCGCAGAUAUCUGGAGGAACACCGGUGGCGAAGGCGGCGACCUGGUCCUAUACGUGACACUCAUACACGAAAGCGUGGGGGAUCAAACAGG